ACUUAAAUUGAAGAGUUUGAUCAUGGCUCAGAUUGAACGCUGGCGGCAGGCCUAACACAUGCAAGUCGAGCGGUAACACAGAGAGCUUGCUCUCGGGUGACGAGCGGCGGACGGGUGAGUAAUGUCUGGGAAACUGCCUGAUGGAGGGGGAUAACUACUGGAAACGGUAGCUAAUACCGCAUAACGUCGCAAGACCAAAGUGGGGGACCUUCGGGCCUCAUGCCAUCAGAUGU
RNAcentral lists this ribosomal RNA (233 nucleotides) under Klebsiella aerogenes. RNAcentral's name for it is "partial 16S ribosomal RNA". It matches the Rfam family "Bacterial small subunit ribosomal RNA", at positions 1 to 228 of the family's 1533-position model. The record is from RNAcentral. Lineage: Bacteria; Pseudomonadati; Pseudomonadota; Gammaproteobacteria; Enterobacterales; Enterobacteriaceae.